UUUUUUUUUUUUUUUUUAACAGUGUAAGAGAUGAUUUUACAAAUCCUCUAUGGUUUGUAAACGAAUUCCUAGAGGAAGGAAAGGUGACGGACAACAUAUACAGAAAAGGUAAAAACAGGAGCACAUUUCAAUAUCAGCAGUUCUCAAAAUUUGGUAUGCAUAAGAAUCAUCCAAGAGGCCUGUUUAAAAAUGAAAAUCCCUGGAUCCUAUUCCAGUGAUUCUGUCAAGAGGUUCUGAUGUAGAUUUGUACUUUAAACUACCACAAAUGACACAGAUGCAAACUGAUCUCUGAACUAUACUUCAAGAAGCAUUACUGCAAAGUACAAAUGCUUUAUAUGAAUAAUUUCCAUAUACUGAAAAGUAUACUCCAAAUAGCUAGGUAAGAGGUAAAUAUACCAGUUACUCCUUAUUCAAGAUACAAAUAUUAGGCGAUCACAUAAUGACUUCAGACCAAAGCUUGGCUUCUGCAGUUAUUGCUUAAUUAAAAGUGCAAAUAUUUUAAAAAUACAUUAAAGCACAGUAUUUUACCUCAAAUAAUAUAUAUCUUAUGCUUAAUUUCUUCUAUAGCAAAACAUAUAAUACAUAUAGGUACAUGUAUGUAUUUAAUUUUAUUUAUUUAUUUGAAAGAGAGGCAGAAAGAAUGAGCAGAGGGAAAGGAAGACUAGCAGACUUCCUCCUGAUCUCCCAGGAUCCUGAGAUCACGACCUGAGCUGAAAUCAAGAGUCAGACACUUAAAUAACCGAGCCACCCAGGCACCCCUAUAUAUUUUUCUAUGUAAAGUUUUAACACUGGAUCUGUUAUUUCCCAGCUGUGUGAUUUAAGGUAUGUUAUAUAAACUCACUGGGCCUCAGUUUCCUCACCUUUAAAAACGAUAGUAAGAGGGGUGCUGGGGUGGCUGAGUCAGUUAAAUGUCUACCUUCAGCUCAGGUCAUAAUCCUGGGGUUCUGGGAUUGAGCUGUGUGUCGAGCUCCCUGCUCAGCUCUCCCUCUUCCUCUGCCACUUCCUCCGUUUGCGCUCUCUUGCUCUAUCAAAUAAAUAAAUAAAUAAACAAAAUCUCUUUUAAAAAGAAAAGAUAAUACCUAUCUCAGUAGUGACAUAAUUAACACAAAAGUACAUCUGGUCCAAAUUAAGAGUUCAAUAAAUGUUUGUUAGAAUUAUUAUUAUAUGCUCAUCACUUUGAAAGCACCUAAUUCAAUCAAUCUCCCAACCACUUUGCCUAGGCAACAAAGAGGACUGCCUGUAUACAGCUUAUCUGAUAGGCCAUAUACAGAAAGAGCACUACUAACAUAAAGCCUACCUUUAAGAAAAAAAAAAUUAAUAAAAAAAAAAAGCUAGAAACUGAAUUAAACCCUUUAACAACAUUGUUAGAGAGCACAGGAAAAACUGGCAGUGCUAGAAUUUAAUCCCAAACUUAUCCUUUUAAACAUGUAGAGAAUACUGAAUAUGAAAAAGAUAAAAUCAUAUUCUUAGCAAAAAUAUGCAUUCCCUUCCCCUGCCCAAAAAGGACAUGAAAGGUGAAUGGAAAUAUUUCAAUGUCAUCUAGAACCUGAUUCUUUUAAGAAAUUUCAUCCUUCUUCUUAACUCCAACUUCUCUAGCUUCCAGGUCAAGUAUCAGAAUACCUCA
RNAcentral lists this long non-coding RNA (1624 nucleotides) under Canis lupus familiaris (dog). Its description in RNAcentral is "lncRNA (ENSCAFG00000057004.1, ENSCAFG00845007317.1)". The record is from RNAcentral. Lineage: Eukaryota; Metazoa; Chordata; Mammalia; Carnivora; Canidae.